RNAcentral lists this RNase P RNA (379 nucleotides) under Escherichia coli. RNAcentral's name for it is "RNase P RNA component class A". It matches the Rfam family "Bacterial RNase P class A". Rfam says of the family: Ribonuclease P (RNase P) is a ubiquitous endoribonuclease, found in archaea, bacteria and eukarya as well as chloroplasts and mitochondria. Its best characterised activity is the generation of mature 5'-ends of tRNAs by cleaving the 5'-leader elements of precursor-tRNAs. Lineage: Bacteria; Pseudomonadati; Pseudomonadota; Gammaproteobacteria; Enterobacterales; Enterobacteriaceae. The record is from RNAcentral.
GAAGCUGACCAGACAGUCGCCGCUUCGUCGUCGUCCUCUUCGGGGGAGACGGGCGGAGGGGAGGAAAGUCCGGGCUCCAUAGGGCAGGGUGCCAGGUAACGCCUGGGGGGGGGGAACCCACGACCAGUGCAACAGAGAGCAAACCGCCGAUGGCCCGCGCAAGCGGGAUCAGGUAAGGGUGAAAGGGUGCGGUAAGAGCGCACCGCGCGGCUGGUAACAGUCCGUGGCACGGUAAACUCCACCCGGAGCAAGGCCAAAUAGGGGUUCAUAAGGUACGGCCCGUACUGAACCCGGGUAGGCUGCUUGAGCCAGUGAGCGAUUGCUGGCCUAGAUGAAUGACUGUCCACGACAGAACCCGGCUUAUCGGUCAGUUUCACCU